RNAcentral lists this ribosomal RNA (211 nucleotides) under Escherichia coli. RNAcentral describes it as "partial 16S ribosomal RNA". It matches the Rfam family "Bacterial small subunit ribosomal RNA", at positions 1335 to 1533 of the family's 1533-position model. Lineage: Bacteria; Pseudomonadati; Pseudomonadota; Gammaproteobacteria; Enterobacterales; Enterobacteriaceae. The record is from RNAcentral. RNAcentral also lists the same sequence under 1 other name.
CUAGUAAUCGUGGAUCAGAAUGCCACGGUGAAUACGUUCCCGGGCCUUGUACACACCGCCCGUCACACCAUGGGAGUGGGUUGCAAAAGAAGUAGGUAGCUUAACCUUCGGGAGGGCGCUUACCACUUUGUGAUUCAUGACUGGGGUGAAGUCGUAACAAGGUAACCGUAGGGGAACCUGCGGUUGGAUCACCUCCUUACCUUAAAGAAGC